GACGAACGCUGGCGGCGUGCUUAACACAUGCAAGUCGUACGGGCUUGGGGGGCAACUCUCAAGUCAGUGGCGAACGGGUGCGUAACACGUGAGCAACUUGCCCUAUGGUGGGGGAUAGCCGGCCCAACGGCCGGGUAAUACCGCAUAUGGCGCCGGGGUCACAUGGCCCUGGUGGGAAAGCGGCCGCAAGGUCGCGCCAAAGGUGGGGCUCGCGACGUAUCAGCUAGUUGGCGGGGUAACGGCCCACCAAGGCUACGACGCGUAGCUGGUCUGAGAGGAUGGCCAGCCACAUUGGGACUGAGAUACGGCCCAGACUCCUACGGGAGGCAGCAGUGGGGAAUAUUGCGCAAUGGCCGCAAGGCUGACGCAGCGACGCCGCGUGUGGGAUGACGG
This 393-nucleotide ribosomal RNA is filed under the name uncultured bacterium. Its description in RNAcentral is "bacterial SSU rRNA". It matches the Rfam family "Bacterial small subunit ribosomal RNA", at positions 28 to 414 of the family's 1533-position model. The record is from RNAcentral.